UGAUACCGGAUAGUUCCUUGAACCGCAUGGUUCAAGGAUGAAAGACGGUUUCGGCUGUCACUUACAGAUGGACCCGCGGCGCAUUAGCUAGUUGGUGGGGUAAUGGCUCACCAAGGCGACGAUGCGUAGCCGACCUGAGAGGGUGAUCGGCCACACUGGGACUGAGACACGGCCCAGACUCCUACGGGAGGCAGCAGUAGGGAAUCUUCCGCAAUGGACGAAAGUCUGACGGAGCAACGCCGCGUGAGUGAUGAAGGUUUUCGGAUCGUAAAGCUCUGUUGUUAGGGAAGAACAAGUGCGAGAGUAACUGCUCGCACCUUGACGGUACCUAACCAGAAAGCCACGGCUAACUACGUGCCAGCAGCCGCGGUAAUACGUAGGUGGCAAGCGUUGUCCGGAAUUAUUGGGCGUAAAGGGCUCGCAGGCGGUUUCUUAAGUCUGAUGUGAAAGCCCCCGGCUCAACCGGGGAGGGUCAUUGGAAACUGGGAAACUUGAGUGCAGAAGAGGAGAGUGGAAUUCCACGUGUAGCGGUGAAAUGCGUAGAGAUGUGGAGGAACACCAGUGGCGAAGGCGACUCUCUGGUCUGUAACUGACGCUGAGGAGCGAAAGCGUGGGGAGCGAACAGGAUUAGAUACCCUGGUAGUCCACGCCGUAAACGAUGA
RNAcentral lists this ribosomal RNA (662 nucleotides) under Bacillus sp. (in: firmicutes). RNAcentral's name for it is "bacterial SSU rRNA". It matches the Rfam family "Bacterial small subunit ribosomal RNA", at positions 164 to 812 of the family's 1533-position model. Lineage: Bacteria; Bacillati; Bacillota; Bacilli; Caryophanales; Bacillaceae. The record is from RNAcentral.